AUGGAAGCUGCUCUUUGGGUGUGCCUCAGUCUGCUCUGUCUGCAGGGCAGCUUUCUCCAGCUCACACGUGGUGCAGACUGCACUGGGACAUCACCGGUGGAAGACUGUGUUAAUGGGCAGACCACCGGAGGAAAGAAGGAUGGGCUUCUGCGGCUGAUGCCAUCUGCUCCAAGAGAGACCCAUACCCAGAAAAAUCCACAGAGGUGGAAGGAUGACAACGUACUGUCGGCCGUGCCGUUGGACAGACAGGAGAGAGAGUUUGGGAAGCACUCCAGCCUUCCUGGGUCCUUCUCAACUAAGGGCUUCCCCAACACACUCAUCCAAGUUCAGACAGAGCGGGCCAGGAGACACUUGGGCCAGUCUGGGACCAAGAAGAAGAACAAGCCUAAAUCCAGAGUGGGAUCUUUUUCUCUGCUCAGCAACAACCCCAGCGCCGCCAUACAGGUAACCAGAGUACGGAGGCAGCUGCAGAAGGAGAAGAAGAAAGGGAAGCCAAGAGGACGAACAGGAGCGUACUCCGCUAUGGACGUCCCAGACAAACCUGAACCCUUGGGACAAAGGCGCAAGAGGAGCCCACAGAAGAAGAAACAGACCAAGAGAAUUGUUUGUUCAUAAACAUUUCAUUAAACGAAACAAGGGACUUUGCGGAAGUGCUACUGCUUCAAUAGUUCAUAAACUGUACUUUAUAUCUUCUUCUCUUUGUAAACAUAUUGGUUUUGUCAUUUUUUCAAUUGAACAAUAAUGUAAUAUAUAUAAUGGAAACACAUCCCUGAGGACAAGUAUACUUACAAUACUUUUGAGAACUCCUUUAAUAUUCUCUUUUAUUACAGUUAUUUGUUGUUGUUGUCGUUGGUCGAUGGUGAUUCUUUGGCGACUGUGCAUAUUAUCAGGUUUAAAUAAAGUAAACUUGUAUGAGAAUACUUCUUGAGAACAUUCCGCAACACAAGGCCUACCGUUUCUACCUAGCACUGAUCGUUUUCUGUUCAGUCAUUGACAGAGUCGGACUCCACCUUGACAAAUGGACUGGAACAUUUCACUGCUCCAGCUCUCCCUCUCUGUUGCCAAGUGCAACACCUUCAAUUCCCACACAACAGGACCUGGGUAACUUCCAGAAGUUAAUUCAGAAAUUGUGAAUUAGGGGGGGGGGGGGGGGGGGAAUGUCACUGAGCCCCAAUUACAGAUGGCUGAGCUAACGUCAGAGUCUGUCUCCCAAAUGGCACCAUAUUCCCUAAAUAGUGCACUACUUUUCACCAUCUUAAGGCUAAGUUCAUCGUUAGAACCAUAUAGUUUGAACGAUGAACUUAGCCUUAAGAUGUUUUUGGGAAACCAGGUUGUGAGUACCAUGGGUCCUGGUCAAAAGUAGUGCACUAUGUAAGGAAGAGGGUGCCAUUUGGGCUGCAGGCAGUGAAUGCCCAGCACUCCGCUAAACUUGCAGUCAAACCUUUGGGUUGAGUGCCCAACUGUUCUGUCAAAUUAAAGGGCGUUGGACCAGUUGAUAAUGGGAAAGAAAUCAUCAUAAUGUUAGACUGUAUACGCCAUCUGUUUCAGAAGUCAAAGUUAAUUUGUUCGAAAAAAAAAUGUUUAUUUUGAAUGAAUUUAGUCAGAGCUAGGAAGCUCAUGGCACUGCAUUCACUAAUGGAGAUGGUUUGAGUGUUUUUGCAGACCAGUCCUGUACUUUACAGUGCCUGCGGAAAGUAUUCAGACCCCUUGACUUUUUCCAUAAUUUGUUAUGUUACAGCCUUAUUCUAAA
This 1750-nucleotide long non-coding RNA is filed under the name Oncorhynchus kisutch (coho salmon). RNAcentral's name for it is "lncRNA (ENSOKIG00005033136.1)". The record is from RNAcentral. Lineage: Eukaryota; Metazoa; Chordata; Actinopteri; Salmoniformes; Salmonidae.